This 497-nucleotide ribosomal RNA is filed under the name uncultured bacterium. RNAcentral's name for it is "partial 16S ribosomal RNA". It matches the Rfam family "Bacterial small subunit ribosomal RNA", at positions 28 to 507 of the family's 1533-position model. The record is from RNAcentral.
GAUGAACGCUGGCGGCGUGCCUAAUACAUGCAAGUCGAGCGAACGGACGAGAAGCUUGCUUUUCUGAUGUUAGCGGCGGACGGGUGAGUAACACGUGGAUAACCUACCUAUAAGACUGGGAUAACUUCGGGAAACCGGAGCUUAUACCGGAUAAUAUUUUGAACCGCAUGGUUCAAAAGUGAAAGACGGUCUUGCUGUCACUUAUAGAUGGAUCCGCGCUGCAUUAGCUAGUUGGUAAGGUAACGGCUUACCAAGGCAACGAUGCAUAGCCGACCUGAGAGGGUGAUCGGCCACACUGGAACUGAGACACGGUCCAGACUCCUACGGGAGGCAGCAGUAGGGAAUCUUCCGCAAUGGGCGAGAGCCUGACGGAGCAACGCCGCGUGAGUGAUGAAGGUCUUCGGAUCGUAAAACUCUGUUAUUAGGGAAGAACAUAUGUGUAAGUAACUGUGCACAUCUUGACGGUACCUAAUCAGAAAGCCACGGCUAACUACGUG